RNA transcript from Glycine soja, 2017 nucleotides. It is a transcript of the gene named F-box/LRR-repeat protein 17-like, with no coding region annotated. The transcript is spliced from 3 exons. The record is from RefSeq and is a predicted model, not a curated record. Lineage: Eukaryota; Viridiplantae; Streptophyta; Magnoliopsida; Fabales; Fabaceae.
CCUCACCACUCCACUCUCUUUCUUUCCUCGCUGCCACUCCACUCUUUUUCUUUCUUUCUUUUUCUCUCUCUCAGCGCAUAAACCAUGGCUUUGUUGGUGGAGAAAACCACACAAGUGGUACCGCAAGAUGAAGAACGUCUUGUUGGGGUUUCAAUGUUAAAAUUGUAACUGUAAAUCAUGUUUGUUGAUGUUGCAGUGAUGUGGAUUCCACGAUAUUGGCUUGUAUUGCGUUCUCGUGCCCUAAUUUGGCAUUCUUGGAGAUCUCGGUCUCUGAUCCUGCAGUUAAUCGGAUCAGCAGAGUACUAGGAAGGAGUCAUGAGCAUUUCACAAAGCACCAAGUUCACUGAGGGUACGCGUGUGAGGAAAUAAAGCUAAAACCAUCUCUGGCAAGGGGAGCCUUUGGAGUGCCACAAAAAGACGCAAUUUACACCUCCUGCUCCUUUCCUCGUGCUUUGUUUCAGAGACUCAUUUCACAAAGCAAAUGACUAAUAUACUUUCCCAUGUUCAAAAAGUUACAUUUAAAUUGUUUUUAUUUAUCUUUGAAUUAUACAAAAUAUCAUUAUCAAUUAUUUAUUAGUUUUUUUAGCCAGUAGUAUCCUAUUCGAACUUGUAAGAUAGUUAUGAUUCAUAAUUUUUUUUCACUAAAUAUAAUUACAUAAUUUAAAUUCAAAAUUUCGAAAUAAGCUGAAAUAAUCUCAGGUGAAUUCAUGGAAUUCAUCCAUGUGGAUAGAAGAUAACUCUUUAUUAAUUAUAACUUAUAAGUAUAUUAAAAUGUAAACUGAAUAUAUAUAUAGUUAUGAUGGCCAGAGGCCACUCAGUAAUCUUUAACUAUAGGAGAUACAUUUAAAAAAAGUGAACUGCAAAGGAUGUGAGUUUCAUAAUGGUAGUGUAAAAAAGUAAAUAUUAUAAAAUUUAAAAGUUUCAUAUAUCUAUUUUGGUUGUGAUUUGUUUGCAGGUUUGCAAUGCUUUUACUGAUAUGGAAAACCCUUCACCUUGUAAGUGUUUACCUGAUGGCUCCAAAAGGGUUCGGUAAGAAGGUAUUGGAAUGUGGUAGGUAGGUGCUAAGAAGGUAUUUGGUACUGGAAUGGAUUACUUUUAGAAGCCAUGAAAGUAUGGAUAGAAAACAAAAACUCUGUAAUGCCAUGUCAAAAUUUAUGUGAAUGGAAAGAUUGAUAGCUAUUUUUUUUUUAUCAGCGGAAAGAUUGAUAGCUAUUUUUUUUUUAUCAGCGGAAAGAUUGAUAGCUAUGUUAAUUACGUAGCUGUUUUUUCUAACAAACUUGAGAGCUCUUUUAAUCCUUGGAGUUUAUAACAAUAUCCCCCAAUAACUGUUACAAAAGUUGGAAAUGUAAUAAUUCAUUUGAAGUUCCAAUUAUUACACUACUUGUUUGCAAAGCCAAGUUGGACCAAGUUGUAUACUUAUUUUUGUCUUUAAGUUGUCUACUUAUAUUGAAUAUCUCAUUUGAAUUUUUAAUGAGCUAUAACUGCUGGAAUAGAAAAUUUAUUUUUGACCGUAUUCCCUUUUUUUCCUCUGUAGUUCAUCAUAUCUUCCUUUCUCUUUCAUUGAAUCAAAUUAAAGGAAGAACUACUAUUACUGGGGAACCAUAUUGAAAAAGAAGUGAGAGAGGAGAAGCAAGUGCCAUAGAAGAAGAAGCUGAGUAGUGAGAUUAAAGAUGGAAAGGCGUGUAUUUUACUAUGUAAUAUUUCUCCUAAUGUGUCAUUUCCUCUGUUCAGGCUAUGGAGGCAGCUCUUGGAAGCUCAAAAGAUUAUUCACUGAAGCAAUAUAUAAAAUUUGUGGAUAAGUUGCAGAGGAAAGCGGAGGUACUUUUCUAUACCUUUCAACGUGGGAGGAUGAAUGCUUGUGUUUUACAUUUUAAUAUAGGAAGAUGGGAAUAGGUUGAUUGUAAAUAUUUCGUUGAUUUAAAGAAUGGAAUUACUAUGCUGAUAAAAAUAAUUUUUAUUGAUACAAUUGAAAUAAGUACUUUUGUUUCCAAUGGAGGCUGUGAUACGAAUAGUAUAU